CGUGGGUGAUCUGCCCUGCACUUCGGGAUAAGCUUGGGAAACUGGGUCUAAUACCGGAUAGGAGCCAUCUUUAGUGUGGUGGUUGGAAAGUUUUUCGGUUGUAGGAUGAGCUCGCGGCCUAUCAGCUUGUUGGUGGGGUAAUAGCCUACCAAGGCGGCGACGGGUAGCCGGCCUGAGAGGGUGUACGGCCACAUUGGGACUGAGAUACGGCCCAG
Molecule: ribosomal RNA, 215 nt
Filed under: uncultured Actinomycetales bacterium
Lineage: Bacteria; Bacillati; Actinomycetota; Actinomycetes; Actinomycetales
Description: partial 16S ribosomal RNA
Rfam family: Bacterial small subunit ribosomal RNA
Source: RNAcentral